This 300-nucleotide ribosomal RNA is filed under the name uncultured Lactobacillus sp. RNAcentral's name for it is "bacterial SSU rRNA". It matches the Rfam family "Bacterial small subunit ribosomal RNA", at positions 496 to 795 of the family's 1533-position model. Lineage: Bacteria; Bacillati; Bacillota; Bacilli; Lactobacillales; Lactobacillaceae. The record is from RNAcentral.
GGAAACGCGGUGCCGGCAGCGGCGGUAAUACGGAGGGUGGAAGGAUGAAUCGGAAUUACGGGGCGUAAAGCGAACGCAGGCGGUCAAUUAAGUCAGAUGUGAAAGCCCCGAGCUUAACUUGGGAAUUGCAUCUGAAACUGGUUGGCUAGAGUCUUGUAGAGGGGGGUAGAAUUCCAUGUGUAGCGGUGAAAUGCGUAGAGAUGUGGAGGAAUACCGGUGGCGAAGGCGGCCCCCUGGACAAAGACUGACGCUCGGGUGCGAAAGCGUGGGGAGCAAACAGGAUUAGAUACCCUAGUAGUC